This 424-nucleotide ribosomal RNA is filed under the name Verrucomicrobiota bacterium. RNAcentral describes it as "Verrucomicrobia bacterium partial 16S ribosomal RNA". It matches the Rfam family "Bacterial small subunit ribosomal RNA", at positions 355 to 776 of the family's 1533-position model. The record is from RNAcentral. Lineage: Bacteria; Pseudomonadati; Verrucomicrobiota.
UGAGGAAUAUUGGUCAAUGGACGAGAGUCUGAACCAGCCAAGUAGCGUGCAAGAUGACGGCCCUAUGGGUUGUAAACUGCUUUUGUUUGGGAAUAAUCGACAUUACGUGUAAUGUUUUGCAUGUACCAUUCGAAUAAGGACCGGCUAAUUCCGUGCCAGCAGCCGCGGUAAUACGGAAGGUCCAGGCGUUAUCCGGAUUUAUUGGGUUUAAAGGGAGUGUAGGCGGUUGGUUAAGCGUGUUGUGAAAUGUAGAUGCUCAACAUCUGACUUGCAGCGCGAACUGGCUGACUUGAGUACACACAACGUAGGCGGAAUUCAUGGUGUAGCGGUGAAAUGCUUAGAUAUCAUGAAGAACUCCGAUUGCGAAGGCAGCUUACGGGAGUGUUACUGACGCUUAAGCUCGAAGGUGCGGGUAUCGAACAGG